GGAUGAACGCUAGCGGCAGGCUUAAUACAUGCAAGUCGUGGGGCAGCAUGGGGUAGCAAUACCCUGAUGGCGACCGGCAAACGGGUGCGGAACACGUACGCAACCUUCCUUUAACUGGAGAAUAGCCCCUCGAAAGAGGGAUUAAUACUCCGUAAUAUCCCGAUAUGGCAUCAUAAUGGGAUUAUAGCUCCGGCGGUUAGAGAUGGGCGUGCGCCUGAUUAGGUAGUUGGCGGGGAAUGGCCCACCGAAGCC
This 252-nucleotide ribosomal RNA is filed under the name uncultured bacterium. RNAcentral describes it as "partial 16S ribosomal RNA". It matches the Rfam family "Bacterial small subunit ribosomal RNA", at positions 27 to 274 of the family's 1533-position model. The record is from RNAcentral.